AGUGAACGCUGGCGGUAGGCCUAACACAUGCAAGUCGAACGGCAGCACAAUAAGAGCUUGCUCUUACGGGUGGCGAGUGGCGGACGGGUGAGGAAUACAUCGGAAUCUACUUUUUCGUGGGGGAUAACGUAGGGAAACUUACGCUAAUACCGCAUACGGCCUACGGGUGAAAGCAGGGGAUCUUCGGACCUUGCGCGAUUGAAUGAGCCGAUGUCGGAUUAGCUAGUUGGCGGGGUAAAGGCCCACCAAGGCGACGAUCCGUAGCUGGUCUGAGAGGAUGAUCAGCCACACUGGAACUGAGACACGGUCCAGACUCCUACGGGAGGCAGCAGUGGGGAAUAUUGGACAAUGGGCGCAAGCCUGAUCCAGCCAUACCGCGUGGGUGAAGAAGGCCUUCGGGUUGUAAAGCCCUUUUGUUGGGAAAGAAAAGCAGCAGGUUAAUACCCCGCUGUUCUGACGGUACCCAAAGAAUAAGCACCGGCUAACUUCGUG
RNAcentral lists this ribosomal RNA (492 nucleotides) under uncultured bacterium. RNAcentral describes it as "partial 16S ribosomal RNA". It matches the Rfam family "Bacterial small subunit ribosomal RNA", at positions 29 to 507 of the family's 1533-position model. The record is from RNAcentral.